Molecule: small nuclear RNA, 167 nt
Organism: Sorex araneus (European shrew)
Lineage: Eukaryota; Metazoa; Chordata; Mammalia; Eulipotyphla; Soricidae
Gene: U1
Rfam family: U1 spliceosomal RNA
About the family: U1 is a small nuclear RNA (snRNA) component of the spliceosome (involved in pre-mRNA splicing). Its 5' end forms complementary base pairs with the 5' splice junction, thus defining the 5' donor site of an intron. There are significant differences in sequence and secondary structure between metazoan and yeast U1 snRNAs, the latter being much longer (568 nucleotides as compared to 164 nucleotides in human).
Source: Ensembl
AUACUGACUUGUCAGGGGAGAUACUGUGAUCAAGAGAUUGGUUUUCCCAGGGCGAGGCUUAUCUAUUGUACUCCGGAUGUGCUGACCCCUGUGAUUGCCCCAAAUGUGGAAAACACAACUGCAGAAUUUGUUGUGGUAGUAGGGGACUAUGCUCGUACUCUCCCCUG